GAUGAACGCUGGCGGCGUGCCUAAUACAUGCAAGUCGAGCGAACGGACGAGAAGCUUGCUUCUCUGAUGUUAGCGGCGGACGGGUGAGUAACACGUGGAUAACCUACCUAUAAGACUGGGAUAACUUCGGGAAACCGGAGCUAAUACCGGAUAAUAUUUUGAACCGCAUGGUUCAAAAGUGAAAGACGGUCUUGCUGUCACUUAUAGAUGGAUCCGCGCUGCAUUAGCUAGUUGGUAAGGUAACGGCUUACCAAGGCAACGAUGCAUAGCCGACCUGAGAGGGUGAUCGGCCGCACUGGAGCGGAGACGCGGUCCAGACUCCUACGGGAGGCAGCAGUAGGGAAUCUUCCGCAAUGGGGGAAAGCCUGACGGAGCAACGCCGCGUGAGUGAUGGAGGUCUUCGGAUCGUAAAACUCUGUUAUUAGGGAAGAACAUAUGUGUAUGUAACUGUGCCCAUCUUGACGGUACCUGAACAGAAAGCCACGGCUAACUACGUG
This 497-nucleotide ribosomal RNA is filed under the name uncultured bacterium. Its description in RNAcentral is "partial 16S ribosomal RNA". It matches the Rfam family "Bacterial small subunit ribosomal RNA", at positions 28 to 507 of the family's 1533-position model. The record is from RNAcentral.